ACAAAGGAUUUUUUCAACUAUAGCAGUUAUAAAAAUCCACUCAUUAAUAAUGCAGAGUGUUAU
Colinus virginianus (northern bobwhite) is the source of this 63-nucleotide non-coding RNA. NCBI's taxonomy places the organism in Eukaryota, Metazoa, Chordata, Aves, Galliformes, Odontophoridae. The record is from Rfam.